UCCUACGGGGCGCAGCAGUGGGGGAUAUUGCACAAUGGGGGAAACCCUGAUGCAGCAACGCCGCGUGAGUGAAGAAGGUCUUCGGAUUGUAAAGCUCUGUUCUUGGUGAAGAAAAUGACGGUACCUGAAGAAGAAGCCCCGGCUAACUACGUGCCAGCAGCCGCGGUAAUACGUAGGGGGCAAGCGUUAUCCGGAUUUACUGGGUGUAAAGGGGGCGCAGACGGCGAUGCAAGCCAGGAGUGAAAGCCCGGGGCCCAACCCCGGGACUGCUCUUGGAACUGCGUGGCUGGAGUGCAGGAGGGGCA
Molecule: ribosomal RNA, 305 nt
Filed under: uncultured bacterium
Lineage: Bacteria
Description: bacterial SSU rRNA
Rfam family: Bacterial small subunit ribosomal RNA
Source: RNAcentral